GAUGGGCUCCGAAGCUAACGCGAUAAAAUCGACGCUGGGAGUACGGCCGCAAGGUUAAAACUCAAAUGAAUUGACGGGGGCCCGCACAAGCGGUGGAGCAUGUGGUUUAAUUCGAUGCAACGCGAAGAACCUUACCUGGUCUUGACAUCCAUAGAAUUCUGCAGAGAUGUGGGAGUGCUUUCGGGAACUAUGAGACAGGUGCUGCAUGGCUGUCGUCAGCUCGUGUUGUGAAAUGUUGGGUUAAGUCCCGCAACGAGCGCAACCCUUAUUCUUUGUUGCCAGCGAUUUGGUCGGGAACUCAAAGGAGACUGCCGUUGAUAAAGCGGAGGAAGGUGGGGACGACGUCAAGUCAUCAUGGCCCUUACGACCAGGGCUACACACGUGCUACAAUGGCGUAUACAAAGGGAAGCGAAGGUGCGAGCUGGAGCGGAUCUCAUAAAGUACGUCUAAGUUCGGAUUGGAGUCUGCAACUCGACUCCAUGAAGUCGGAAUCGCUAGUAAUCGUAGAUCAGAAUGCUACGGUGAAUACGUUCCCGGGCCUUGUACACACCGCCCGUCACACCAUGGGAGUGGGUUGCACCAGAAGUAGAUAGCUUAACCGCGAGGGGGGCGUUUACCACGGUGUGAUUCAUGACUGGGGUGAAGUCGUAACAAGGUAACCA
Molecule: ribosomal RNA, 662 nt
Filed under: uncultured Enterobacteriaceae bacterium
Lineage: Bacteria; Pseudomonadati; Pseudomonadota; Gammaproteobacteria; Enterobacterales; Enterobacteriaceae
Description: bacterial SSU rRNA
Rfam family: Bacterial small subunit ribosomal RNA
Source: RNAcentral